AACGAACGCUGGCGGCAGGCCUAACACAUGCAAGUCGAGCGCCCCGCAAGGGGAGCGGCGGACGGGUGAGUAACGCGUGGGAACGUACCCUUUGCUACGGAAUAGCCUCGGGAAACUGGGAGUAAUACCGUAUGUGCCCUUCGGGGGAAAGAUUUAUCGGCAAAGGAUCGGCCCGCGUUGGAUUAGGUAGUUGGUGGGGUAAUGGCCUACCAAGCCGACGAUCCAUAGCUGGUUUGAGAGGAUGAUCAGCCACACUGGGACUGAGACACGGCCCAGACUCCUACGGGAGGCAGCAGUGGGGAAUCUUAGACAAUGGGCGCAAGCCUGAUCUAGCCAUGCCGCGUGAGCGAUGAAGGCCUUAGGGUUGUAAAGCUCUUUCAGUGAGGAAGAUAAUGACUGUACCCACAGAAGAAGCCCGGCUAACUCCGUGCCAGCAGCCGCGGUAAUGUACAGUGU
RNAcentral lists this ribosomal RNA (456 nucleotides) under uncultured bacterium. RNAcentral describes it as "bacterial SSU rRNA". It matches the Rfam family "Bacterial small subunit ribosomal RNA", at positions 29 to 533 of the family's 1533-position model. The record is from RNAcentral.